UAAUAAGAUGGCUGAGAAUGUUAGGCGGUAGAUUGUAAAUCUAUUUACGAGUUAAAACUCUCUUAUU
This 67-nucleotide transfer RNA is filed under the name Grimothea quadrispina. RNAcentral's name for it is "Munida quadrispina tRNA-Tyr". It matches the Rfam family "tRNA". From Rfam's summary of the family: Transfer RNA (tRNA) molecules are approximately 80 nucleotides in length. Their secondary structure includes four short double-helical elements and three loops (D, anti-codon, and T loops). Further hydrogen bonds mediate the characteristic L-shaped molecular structure. tRNAs have two regions of fundamental functional importance: the anti-codon, which is responsible for specific mRNA codon recognition, and the 3' end, to which the tRNAs corresponding amino acid is attached (by aminoacyl-tRNA synthetases). tRNAs cope with the degeneracy of the genetic code in two manners: having more than one tRNA (with a specific anti-codon) for a particular amino acid; and 'wobble' base-pairing, i.e. permitting non-standard base-pairing at the 3rd anti-codon position. Lineage: Eukaryota; Metazoa; Arthropoda; Malacostraca; Decapoda; Munididae. The record is from RNAcentral.